GUGUGAAUGUGUGAGUGAGAAUUUUUCAGCUGUGUGAACUAAGCUUUUAACUGUUUGUUGUGGAGAGAGAGAGAGAGAGAGAGAGGAGAAGAANCGUGUGUGAACUAAGUACUUUAACUUAGUUUGUUGUGGAGAGAGAGAGAGAGAGAGAGGAGAGAGAAAAGCAAGCAGGAAUUUUUGGCUUUAUUUUGCUUUUAUACUUCUUUUUCGAACGCUUGUGGGGAAAAAGAAAAGAAAGAAUAUAGAAAAUAAUUGACAACUGCAAUAAAAAUGAAUAAAGAAGAAUAUGUGUUACUAUAAGCUUUUUAAUGAUAACUAUUGUAUGGUGAGACAUUCAGUAAUUAAAAAAAUUAGGGGAUUAUGAAUUAUGAUCGCGCCACAAUGAAUAAAAAUGAAUAAGCUCUUUUUCAGGCUUAUUUUGCAUUUUGAUCAGAAUGAUUAGACUGUAAUUAGUGGGAAUUAUUUUAGCAUUUUGAUAGGAAUGAUUAGAAUGUAAUUAGUGGAGAAUGAUCAUAUUUAGAGUGUUUUUUUUUUUUCUUCCAACAUUCCGAAAAUCACUACCAGACAAUGCCC
RNAcentral lists this long non-coding RNA (573 nucleotides) under Salvia miltiorrhiza (redroot sage). Its description in RNAcentral is "long non-coding RNA (SMIL_LNC005078)". Lineage: Eukaryota; Viridiplantae; Streptophyta; Magnoliopsida; Lamiales; Lamiaceae. The record is from RNAcentral.